CAGUAACCGCGGGAAUACGGAGGAUCCAAGCGUUAUCCGGAAUUAUUGGGUUUAAAGGGUCCGUAGGCGGUCUUGUAAGUCAGUGGUGAAAGCCCAUCGCUCAACGGUGGAACGGCCAUUGAUACUGCAGGACUUGAAUUAUUGGGAAGUAACUAGAAUAUGUAGUGUAGCGGUGAAAUGCUUAGAGAUUACAUGGAAUACCAAUUGCGAAGGCAGGUUACUACCAAUUGAUUGACGCUGAUGGACGAAAGCGUGGGUAGCGAACAGGAUUAGAUAACCCGGUAGUCCCUGUCUCUUAUAC
RNAcentral lists this ribosomal RNA (301 nucleotides) under uncultured bacterium. Its description in RNAcentral is "partial 16S ribosomal RNA". It matches the Rfam family "Bacterial small subunit ribosomal RNA", at positions 509 to 807 of the family's 1533-position model. The record is from RNAcentral.